GAGCUGCAUUGAUGAUUCUUCGCUUGCCUGAGACUCGCAUUUGUCGAGCGGGUUGCAUCCGUUGUUACGUUGCCCGAAGACCGCAGUAAAUGUGAUUUGCAGGGUGCAAGCAACGUGCCAUUGUGGUUAGAAAAAAUGAAUCAGUAUACAUGUGAUUUAACUGUCAAAGCCGAAAUGUUUAAAGCAUACAUCCCGCCCAAG
Long non-coding RNA from Rhipicephalus sanguineus (brown dog tick), 201 nucleotides. RefSeq lists it as uncharacterized. The transcript is spliced from 3 exons. The record is from RefSeq and is a predicted model, not a curated record. Lineage: Eukaryota; Metazoa; Arthropoda; Arachnida; Ixodida; Ixodidae.